AACGAACGCUGGCGGCGCGUCUUAAGCAUGCAAGUCGGACGGCAAGGGUAGCAAUACCCCUAGAGUGGCGGACUGGUGAGUAACGCGUGGGUGACCUACCCUUGAGUUGGGGAUAGCCAUUAGAAAUAGUGGAUAAUACCGAAUACGAUUGCCGGACUAUGGUUUGGUAAUGAAAGGAGCUACGGCUCCGCUCGAGGAUGGGCCCGCGUCCCAUUAGCUAGUUGGUGAGGUAACGGCCCACCAAGGCGACGAUGGGUAUCCGGCCUGAGAGGGUGUACGGACACAUUGGGGACUGAGAUACGGCCCAAACUCCUACGGGAGGCAGCAGCUAAGAUAUUCCGCAAUGGACGAAAGUCUGACGGAGCGACGCCGCGUGGAUGAAGAAGGCCGAAAGGUUGUAAACUGCUUUUGUACGGAACGAAACGGUUCAGAUUAAUACUCUGAACUAAUGACGGUACCGUAAGAAUAAGCACCGGCUAACUACGUG
This 487-nucleotide ribosomal RNA is filed under the name uncultured bacterium. RNAcentral describes it as "bacterial SSU rRNA". It matches the Rfam family "Bacterial small subunit ribosomal RNA", at positions 29 to 507 of the family's 1533-position model. The record is from RNAcentral.